AUCUUUCUAGUAUUAAAAAGUAUAAGUGACUUCCAAUUACCCGGUCUUGGUUAAACUCCAAGGAAAGAUA
RNAcentral lists this transfer RNA (70 nucleotides) under Acentrogobius caninus (tropical sand goby). RNAcentral describes it as "tRNA-Gly". Lineage: Eukaryota; Metazoa; Chordata; Actinopteri; Gobiiformes; Gobiidae. RNAcentral also lists the same sequence under 1 other name. The record is from RNAcentral.